GACUGAUUAAAAAGUUUUGAUUUGAAAUCAAGUACCAAAGCGAGUAUGAGUGCUUAUUAGUCU
RNAcentral lists this transfer RNA (63 nucleotides) under Mytilus edulis (blue mussel). RNAcentral describes it as "tRNA-Ser". The record is from RNAcentral. Lineage: Eukaryota; Metazoa; Mollusca; Bivalvia; Mytilida; Mytilidae.